Molecule: non-coding RNA, 90 nt
Organism: Xyrichtys novacula (pearly razorfish)
Lineage: Eukaryota; Metazoa; Chordata; Actinopteri; Labriformes; Labridae
Source: the annotation of a GenBank genome assembly
UAACCAGGUUAUAACCAGGUAAUGUCUCAGGAUAUAACCAGGUUAUAACCUGGUUAUAACCUGAAACAUUACCUGGUUAUAACCUGGUUA